UAAGAGUUGGAUUUCAUCCCUCAGUGC
RNAcentral lists this non-coding RNA (27 nucleotides) under Homo sapiens (human). Lineage: Eukaryota; Metazoa; Chordata; Mammalia; Primates; Hominidae. The record is from RNAcentral.